Populus nigra (black poplar) is the source of this 1337-nucleotide RNA transcript. RefSeq lists it as uncharacterized. NCBI's taxonomy places the organism in Eukaryota, Viridiplantae, Streptophyta, Magnoliopsida, Malpighiales, Salicaceae. The transcript is spliced from 7 exons. The record is from RefSeq and is a predicted model, not a curated record.
CCUUCUCCACCGUCUCUCUAAUCUACCAUAAACCGCACACAUUCAGAGGGUCAAUUUAGUCACUUCAUAGUAAAAAAGUCUCACGGUCGCCAGACAUAUAAAAAUAAAAAACACUGGCGCUGUUUACCUUCUUUUUUUUAUUCUAAAAAAAAUGCAGUCCCUCAAUCUGAAACUGUCAACGGAUUUUAGUACAGGUACGAGGAGGUUUGUUCAAAGUCGGAGCUUCGGAGAGGAGAGGAGACAGUGUUUGAGUUUCAGAGUUCCCUACAGAAAUUGUCGGAUUGUUGCAUGUUCUGUUGAGAGAGAUGGAAACGGUGAAGGAACAAGUUCCAGUUCGGGUUCGGAUUAUAGUCCGAGUUCAUUUUUGUCUCGGAGUCAAACGUAUGCUAUGCUAAAACAACAAAUGGAGGUUGCUGCGCAAUCUGAGGAUUAUGAAGAAGCUGCGAGAAUUCGUGAUUCGUUGAAAUCAUUUGAGGAAGAGGAACCAGUUUUGCGGCUGCAUAGGUUGCUGAAGGAGGCAAUUGCUGAUGAGCAGUUUGAGGAUGCAGCUAGGUAUCGAGAUGAGUUAAAGGAAAUUGCGCCACACUCUCUCUUGAAAUGUUCAAGUGAUGCAACUACCUUGGGGAUCAGGAUUCAAGUUAGGAGCUUGUACAUCGAGGGCCGCAGUCAGCCUUCAAAGGGGCAGUACUUCUUUGCAUAUAGAAUAAGAAUCACUAAUAACUCAGAUCGCCCCGUUCAACUUCUCAGAAGACACUGGAUUAUCACAGAUGCCAAAGGAAAAACUGAAAAUGUUUGGGGAGUUGGAGUUAUAGGUGAACAGCCAGUUAUACUUCCUAGGACAGCAUUUGAAUACUCAUCUGCAUGCCCGCUAUGCACUCCCAAUGGUAGAAUGGAAGGUGACUUUGAGAUGAAACACAUCGACAAAGCAGGCUCGCCCACGUUCAAUGUUGCUAUUGCCCCGUUUUCUCUCUCAAUACUUGGAGAUGGAAGUGAUGCCUUUUGAUUUAGGCUUCAUGGCUCACUCAAAGAGAGCGGAGCAUCCGCAUCGAUUCAGGGACUGCACUGUUGAAGUCGAAAGAAUCCCAUAGUAAAAGUGCUUCUUAUUAGGAAAAUGAACCAGAUGGUCCAGCUCCAAUACCAGCUUGCAGGCCCAGCCCCUUGCUGUUUUUCCAAGUAAUCAACAGUUGAGUGGAUUAUUCUUUGGUUCUUGGGUUUCUUGGAAGCAAUUGUAACUUAGUUCUUCAGCAGAUCUUUGCCCCGCUGUAAGCUGAGGGUUGAAAAUGUUACUAAAACAUUGUAAACAUAUUUUCUAGUAAAAACAAAAUUUAAACUGUUCA